RNAcentral lists this ribosomal RNA (600 nucleotides) under Hydrotrupes palpalis. RNAcentral's name for it is "SSU rRNA". It matches the Rfam family "Eukaryotic small subunit ribosomal RNA", at positions 32 to 601 of the family's 1831-position model. The record is from RNAcentral. Lineage: Eukaryota; Metazoa; Arthropoda; Insecta; Coleoptera; Dytiscidae.
UUGUCUCAAAGAUUAAGCCAUGCAUGUCUCAGUACAAGCCGCAUUAAGGUGAAACCGCGAAAGGCUCAUUAAAUCAGUUAUGGUUCCUUAGAUCGUACCCACAUUUACUUGGAUAACUGUGGUAAUUCUAGAGCUAAUACAUGCAAACAGAGUUCCGACCGGAGACGGGAGGAAUGCUUUUAUUAGAUCAAAACCAAUCGGCGUCGGGAGCGCUCGUCGCGCCCGUCCGCCGCUCAACUUGGUGACUCUGAAUAACUUUCGGCUGAUCGCACGGUCUCGCACCGGCGACGCAUCUUUCAAAUGUCUGCCUUAUCAACUGUCGAUGGUAGGUUCUGCGCCUACCAUGGUCGUAACGGGUAACGGGGAAUCAGGGUUCGAUUCCGGAGAGGGAGCCUGAGAAACGGCUACCACAUCCAAGGAAGGCAGCAGGCGCGCAAAUUACCCACUCCCGGCACGGGGAGGUAGUGACGAAAAAUAACGAUACGGGACUCAUCCGAGGCCCCGUAAUCGGAAUGAGUACACUUUAAAUCCUUUAACUAGGAUCAAUUGGAGGGCAAGUCUGGUGCCAGCAGCCGCGGUAAUUCCAGCUCCAAUAGCGUA